GGGCCAGCAACGCAAUUGAAGACAAGGAGAUGGCGUGCGGUGAGCCCACUGAGAAGCGGAGCAGAAAGAGGAGGAUCUAAGAGAUCAGAGAGGGGGAUGGAGGUUUUUUCUGGCUUUGUUUAUCUUCAUGAGUCCUGUUGCCUUCUUGAUUCACUGUGCCGUAGUGCUGCAGAACUCAGUGAAUCCACCAGCAGCAGACUGAAUUACAGUCUCAAGUAUCUGUGAUGACCCUCAUCCCGAUCCACAAUGACACACUAAAGAGCCGACAACUUGCCUCAUUUAAAAGGGGGGAAAAAACAUCAAACGGUUUGUAACAACAUAAGGAUGUUGUACUCGCAGUGGCAUGUCAAAGAAUCCACACAGAAUUCCAGCGUCUCUCUGUCCUUGUCCAAGCGUUUCAAACUUUCCACUUUCAUCUCACUUUCAGGCUGUUGAGAUAGCCACUGGGACAUCCUAAAAAAAUCAGAAAACACCUCCAAAGACUCUCUUUCACACUUUCACUCACUUUACUCCCACAGCUGUCACAGCAUUGCCAGAUCCCUCAAACCACCACAAGCCCGGCCUCUUGAGACACAUUCCUCACUUCACCUGAGCAAACUGUGUUCACCUCAGAGAGAAUUUUUGAUGCUGCCAUUAAACACCCUGGGUACCUAAUGCCCUGUGGAGAAAAUCCUGUGGAGCAGUUUUAUUUAUUAAUAUAUCUGUUGGCUAAAAUGGAGACAAGGCCUGUUAUAACCACAGACAAUAACUACAGUUUUACUAAAGAAAUAAUGCUGUUUUUGUAAAAGUAUCCGCACCUCAAUCAUAAUGAUAAUAGCAGAGAAGAUCAAUAUUAUUAGCAAUCAUAUUUAGAAUGAUUUUUUUUUUGUUUUGUUUUUAGAGACAUGACAGCCAAUGAGAUGACAAGUGUUGCCAUGUCUGCGGUUUUCUCUGUGGAAUUGGGCUACUUCAACGCUGUUACCGCUUGUUGAUUUUUAUGUCCUUGGGUGAAGGCAACCAAAGUAAUGUGAUAUUUUCACCCCUGGAAUGCAUUUUAAAAGAAAUUAUCCAUUUUUGUGCAUAUCCAGGGUGUUUUAAUUUUUUGAAACCUAAAAGAUUUUUUUUGCUAGGAAAAAACGUGACCUUUCCAACUUGAUUGCGUAUUGUGUAAAGUCGCAGACUUGCUUUACAGAAGUAGAUGAGCAUUUGUGGUCAAAAAUUGUGUACAUUUUUAUUUCUCACUAGAUAAGACCCUUAUUCCUCGGCUCCCAUUGAAGUCCACUAUAGGGAGAAAAAUCCUGCAG
Molecule: long non-coding RNA, 1283 nt
Organism: Puntigrus tetrazona (Sumatra barb)
Lineage: Eukaryota; Metazoa; Chordata; Actinopteri; Cypriniformes; Cyprinidae
Exons: 5
Source: RefSeq, a predicted model, not a curated record